This 1254-nucleotide ribosomal RNA is filed under the name Salmonella enterica. RNAcentral describes it as "partial 23S ribosomal RNA". It matches the Rfam family "Bacterial large subunit ribosomal RNA", at positions 711 to 1861 of the family's 2925-position model. The record is from RNAcentral. Lineage: Bacteria; Pseudomonadati; Pseudomonadota; Gammaproteobacteria; Enterobacterales; Enterobacteriaceae.
AGACCCGAAACCCGGUGAUCUAGCCAUGGGCAGGUUGAAGGUUGGGUAACACUAACUGGAGGACCGAACCGACUAAUGUUGAAAAAUUAGCGGAUGACCUGUGGCUGGGGGUGAAAGGCCAAUCAAACCGGGAGAUAGCUGGUUCUCCCCGAAAGCUAUUUAGGUAGCGCCUCGUGAAUUCAUCUCCGGGGGUAGAGCACUGUUUCGGCUAGGGGGCCAUCCCGGCUUACCAACCCGAUGCAAACUGCGAAUACCGGAGAAUGUUAUCACGGGAGACACACGGCGGGUGCUAACGUCCGUCGUGAAGAGGGAAACAACCCAGACCGCCAGCUAAGGUCCCAAAGUCAUGGUUAAGUGGGAAACGAUGUGGGAAGGCCCAGACAGCCAGGAUGUUGGCUUAGAAGCAGCCAUCAUUUAAAGAAAGCGUAAUAGCUCACUGGUCGAGUCGGCCUGCGCGGAAGAUGUAACGGGGCUAAACCAUGCACCGAAGCUGCGGCAGCGAACGUAUCACCCAAGACAACUUUACGGAGUUGACGAUUGACGGAGCGAAGCGACGUCAAAGCGUUCAUUAAAGUCGAGUUGGCUUAGGGAUACGUUCGUUGGGUAGGGGAGCGUUCUGUAAGCCUGUGAAGGUGUGUCGUGAGGCAUGCUGGAGGUAUCAGAAGUGCGAAUGCUGACAUAAGUAACGAUAAAGCGGGUGAAAAGCCCGCUCGCCGGAAGACCAAGGGUUCCUGUCCAACGUUAAUCGGGGCAGGGUGAGUCGACCCCUAAGGCGAGGCCGAAAGGCGUAGUCGAUGGGAAACGGGUUAAUAUUCCCGUACUUGGUGUUACUGCGAAGGGGGGACGGAGAAGGCUAUGUUGGCCGGGCGACGGUUGUCCCGGUUUAAGCGUGUAGGUGUGUGUUCCAGGUAAAUCCGGUUCACUUUAACACUGAGGCGUGACGACGAGGCACUACGGUGCUGAAGCAACAAAUGCCCUGCUUCCAGGAAAAGCCUCUAAGCAUCAGGUAACACGAAAUCGUACCCCAAACCGACACAGGUGGUCAGGUAGAGAAUACCAAGGCGCUUGAGAGAACUCGGGUGAAGGAACUAGGCAAAAUGGUGCCGUAACUUCGGGAGAAGGCACGCUGACACGUAGGUGAAGUGAUUUACUCAUGGAGCUGAAGUCAGUCGAAGAUACCAGCUGGCUGCAACUGUUUAUUAAAAACACAGCACUGUGCAAACACGAAAGUGGACGUAUACGGUGUGACGCCUG